UGUAUAAUCUAUGUUUAUUUGUUGUCUGUUGAUACUCAGUUUUUUUAUGAAAAGGGACCUGCCCCUGCUUCAUUAACGAAACAUAGAGUUUUGCUACAACAUCAGAACAGAAUAAAAGGAAAAUCAGUCUCUAAUCAGACUGUCUGCAAAGCUCAACUUCAUAUUACAGUCCACUCAAAUGGAGGAACCUGUGUAUAACUUGAAGGAUCGGCUCUCAGCCAAGCGUAUGCCUGUGUUUGCUGAUGCACUCCUGCCGCCUAAGUGAGCAGCUACAUAAUAAUGUUUUUGUGUUUUUAUUUUGUAGCAAAAUGUUUUUCUAUUGUUGCUUCUUGGUUCCUGCUAUGCAGCUUUUCCCAUAGAAUGUGCUUUCUUAUAUGUUUAUUUGUUUACUGAGUAGAGCUUUAAAACGGAGAAACCUGUGUAUAACUUGAAGGAUCGGCUCCUCAGCCAAGCGUAUGCGUGCGUUUGCUGAUGCACUCCUGCGGCCUAAGCGAGCAGUGAUUGCAUUUAAAAUUAUGUUGAACGUUUCUUCAUUCUGAAUGCCAAAUCUGCUUCUUGAAAUUAUUGUGACGUAAACAAGCCAUGAGCUGCAGGAGUUCACUUACCAUGGCAAAAGGAUUGUGUUCACUGCUGAUAUAGUCAAGAAGGUGUUCGAUAUAUCAUCAGGUAACAAGCAUGUGGACUUGAUCAAAAAAGGUGAUGCUUGCGAGCUCCGUGAUGUCUAAAAGCAGGGUAACCCAAGGCGGCCUAUAAGAAAGGUUGAGAAGGUGUUGCUUGCUUGCAAUGAUUUUUUUUUGUGGAUAAGUGGGCCUUUGCCUUUCCUUGCUGUAUGUUCAUGUUCACGUCCCUCAUAUUUGUUUCAGUAUGUCUAAGUGUAUUUAGCUUUUGUUUGUGUUUCAAUGUGCUUACCGUUUGUUUUUUAGAUCAUUUACAUGGAUCAUUUGGAGUUCCCACCUAAUGAUUAUGUCAUAGACUGCUCGCUUCGAAGAGCUUUGUCCUAUAAAGAGCAAAGACUUCGACUUUGUAGUUGCUAUUGUCAUUGACAAGAAAAAAUUGUGCAAUACAACUAUCUUCGUGAGGCGACCCUUUCUCCUUUUGUCCAAGACAUUAUAUGUACAUGUACGCGAACCCGUUGAAGAGGAAGAAAUCAACUGGUCUGCAUCACUGAAUGAAUGGCUUGUGCCAGGAUUUCCUAAUAGCUAGGAAUUGGAGGUCCCAGCUCGUUACAAGCACAUGCAUGAGAAGUGUAAGGCUAUUUUGUUGCUGAUGUUGGUGCAACUAUCAAGAACCUUGUCAUUGGCUUCAAACACAUGUAUUCCCAGUGCAUGUCUGCUUUUUCAUUGUCGUAGAUGAUGCAAUCUGGGAAGGAUAUGGUCCAAGUGUUGUGUUCCCAACUGAUGCAAAUGUUGAGCAAAACAAAAAUCCUGUCAUAGGAUAUGAGGAGCAGGAUCUGCAAAAGAAGGAUAGGUUGACAUGGAUGAAGCAAAGGAGGAC
Non-coding RNA from Lolium perenne, 1494 nucleotides. The record is from RefSeq and is a predicted model, not a curated record. Lineage: Eukaryota; Viridiplantae; Streptophyta; Magnoliopsida; Poales; Poaceae.